GAUGAACGCUGGCGGCGUGCCUAAUACAUGCCAGUCGAGCGAACAGAUAAGGAGCUUGCUCCUUUGACGUUAGCGGCGGACGGGUGAGUAACACGUGGGUAACCUACCUAUAAGACUGGAAUAACUCCGGGAAACCGGGGCUAAUGCCGGAUAACAUUUAGAACCGCAUGGUUCUAAAGUGAAAGAUGGUUUUGCUAUCACUUAUAGAUGGACCCGCGCCGAAUUAGCUAGUUGGUAAGGUAACGGCUUACCAAGGCAACGAUACGUAGCCGACCUGAGAGGGUGAUCGGCCACACUGGAACUGAGACACGGUCCAGACUCCUACGGGAGGCAGCAGUAGGGAAUCUUCCGCAAUGGGCGAAAGCCUGACGGAGCAACGCCGCGUGAGUGAUGAAGGUCUUCGGAUCGUAAAACUCUGUUAUUAGGGAAGAACAAAUGUGUAAGUAACUGUGCACGUCUUGACGGUACCUAAUCAGAAAGCCACGGCUAACUACGUG
This 497-nucleotide ribosomal RNA is filed under the name uncultured bacterium. RNAcentral's name for it is "partial 16S ribosomal RNA". It matches the Rfam family "Bacterial small subunit ribosomal RNA", at positions 28 to 507 of the family's 1533-position model. The record is from RNAcentral.